Non-coding RNA from Schistosoma haematobium, 44 nucleotides. Lineage: Eukaryota; Metazoa; Platyhelminthes; Trematoda; Strigeidida; Schistosomatidae. The record is from Rfam.
ACCAGCUGACGAGUCCCAAAUAGGACGAAACGCGCGUCCUGGAU